Molecule: ribosomal RNA, 484 nt
Filed under: uncultured bacterium
Lineage: Bacteria
Description: partial 16S ribosomal RNA
Rfam family: Bacterial small subunit ribosomal RNA
Source: RNAcentral
AUUGAACGCUGGCGGCAGGCCUAACACAUGCAAGUCGAGCGGAUGAAGGGAGCUUGCUCCUGGAUUCAGCGGCGGACGGGUGAGUAAUGCCUAGGAAUCUGCCUAGCAGCGGGGGAUAACGUCCGAAAACGGGCGCUAAUACCGCAUACGUCCUGACGGAGAAAGUGGGGGAUCUUCGGACCUCCCGCUCUUACAUGAUCCUAGGUCGGAUUAGCUAGUUGGUGGGGUAAAGGCCUACCAAGGCGACGAUCCGUAACUGGUCUGAGAGGAUGAUCAGUCACACUGGAACUGAGACACGGUCCAGACUCCUACGGGAGGCAGCAGUGGGGAAUAUUGGACAAUGGGCGCAAGCCUGAUCCAGCCAUGCCGCGUGUGUGAAGAAGGUCUUCGGAUUGUAAAGCACUUUAAGUUGGGAGGAAGGGCAGUAAGUUAAUACCUCGCUGUUUUGACGUUACCAACAGAAUAAGCACCGGCUAACUUCGUG